AAAGAGAAAGUAAAGUAAAAAAAAACAAAAAAAACCAACAAAAACAAAAAAGGAAAAUCGGAUAGAUUUUUCUGUCAAAUGGCUCCGAUCCAACCCCCGAGAAAAGUUUACACCAGCCUUAUCAAAUGCAGUGAGUACCAAGGAUCGAAGAGCGCGGGAGACGCCGUCCAACUGUAUGCAGAUUUAGUUACUCAACUACAGAGAAAUCCAGGUGAGAGGGGAAACCACCACUGGGGCUGCAUGAGGAGAUCCUCCCCUUGCCCCGUUAGAUUGCCUCUUUCAUCAGCAGCUUCGUCCCCCAGUCCCCCGUUUACCUUGGUACUGGGAUCCGGGUCGGAGCAGACGUGGUUGGCGGCUUCAUCGCUGAGGCCGCUGAGC
Long non-coding RNA from Dermochelys coriacea (leatherback sea turtle), 378 nucleotides. RefSeq lists it as uncharacterized. The record is from RefSeq and is a predicted model, not a curated record. The transcript is spliced from 3 exons. Lineage: Eukaryota; Metazoa; Chordata; Testudines; Dermochelyidae.